Molecule: long non-coding RNA, 239 nt
Filed under: Medicago truncatula (barrel medic)
Lineage: Eukaryota; Viridiplantae; Streptophyta; Magnoliopsida; Fabales; Fabaceae
Description: long non-coding RNA (MTRU_LNC006120)
Source: RNAcentral
GUGAAAUGACCAAAAUGCCCCUAGGGCUAAAAUGACCUAAACAGAAUCAAAUUAACUCGACACUGACUCAGAUGCAAGUUUGAAAUGAAAUUAGCAAGGUUUACUGAUGGAAUGUAAAAAAAACAAUCUGAAAAGACUCAGAGACAGUCACAAGGAUGAAAAUGGGUCCCACUGCAGGAAAUGACCAAAAUACCCUUCUGUAUGACUUUUUGCAAAUUUUGAAAUAAACUGUGGAAAAA